UUUGACAAAUUUAUUUGUUUUAGAAUUUCUAAUCUCACUUUGUAUGGAAACUAAUUCAAAUACAGAACGCAUAGUUAAAUAAAUAACUGUCACUAUUUCUAAACGGGUGAAGACAGCGAGCUGGUAGAAUAGUUCGCACGUCGGACGAAAUGCUUAGCAACAUUUCGUCCGUCUUCUCGAUCCCAUUUCAAAUUCAGGCUACGUGAUUUACACUUUCAUCCUUUUAGGGGUCAACAUACUAGAUAGCAGUUUUUCCCUUGGACAUGUGCCAUCGACUUCACAUCCCUUCAAAGAAUUGUUAACACAGUUUCAAAAAUUUGAAACCGUUAUCAAUAUUAAUGUUGCUGAUUGGCAGAAUCGUUAACGCGUAGAAUUACACAAUUAGUAGCUUUUCAUCCAGGUCUAUACGUUAUGAGUUCACCUAACGUCGAGCUGAACUUUCAUGAUUCGGAAAUCAAUAAAAUAUUAUCUCAAUCAAGUAGUGGAAUUGAAAGUAAUUGAUACUUCCCUACAUUCAAAAUUUCAAACCUUGUGCCAAAGCUAGAAUGUCUUAGAAAUAUGUAUGUAUAAAGGUGGAGAGAUGUGCGUUGCUAUUGUAUUCAAGCUUAUCUACAGAUUCACACAAAGAAGCACAAAACAGGCCGUCCAAAACUACGUGUAAUUCACAUGGGUUUCGUGGAUUUUAAUUCGAAUUCCACAGAAACAUAAUCGGCGAAAUCGUAUUUGAUACAGUACAGGGCAAGCAAGAUCUGGGGAGGCGGAGAACCCAUUAUAUCGAACCCAAUGUUCAACAGGCAAUUAUUUUAGCAAUCACGAACCUAUGAAAAUGAAAAUCCACCUCAGCGGAAUUCGAACAAAAACGCUCCACCUCAAAAUAUUAGCACUUCUUCGUCGUACAAUUAUCUCUAAUUUGUCUUCCGUAUAAGUUCGACAAUCCACACAAUUCAUUUUAAUUAUUGGUACUCCGGGGACCUUAUAUUCUUUGAACUGCGAAAGCCCGAUGUUUACUGCAUGGAUUUUGACUCUUUGUUUUCUCCAAGUAAAACUGCAGUCAUCCUGGUUUUUGCUGCCAUGGUGUAACAGCAUUUUACCAUUCCCUUGGAUAGCAUAGGUGACGUGCGGAGGUGAAAACAUGGGUGACUGCUUCUCUUUAAUAUACAACUUUGCUUGGACUUGUGAUUAGAAGAGGGACUUUCUACGUGCAAUCUCAUAGACAUUCAUAGAGACAGAGAUACACACCCACAUACAUAUACUUAAAGGUAUGUUUGUAGCUAUACAUAUUCAUAGGUUUAUGCACGAACAUUUUUCUGUGUUUUUUCCACACCAAUACUUGAGAACAUUUGUUGGUUUGUUUAUGUCUCCAUAAUACAGUGGAGCAGCAAAGGAGGUCAAUAUAAUAAGCACGAGUUUUUUAAAAUAAUACAUGUCUCCGAAUUGAGUUCUUCGACGCAAGCCUUCCAAAACAUGCUGCAGCAUGGUCAUAUUUUAACGACGAAACCAAGUACACGAUAAAUGAUGAGAAAUUAGAACAUGACUCAACUCUGCACAUCAAAGACCAUUAGUUAAUUUGGGGGUAAAAUUACGAGUUUUGUUAUCGGUGACAUAUAAUUUAAAAUUUUUUUUUUAAAAACUGCUUUCGUCUGCAAUAUAUUUGUUACUCUUAACCUGAUUAAUGAUUACAAACAAACAUUCGGUCGGUCCGGACAUCUUAAUAAUCUUCACAUUGACAGAAAAAUUACGACGGCAAAAGCCAGACAUUGUAAGGGAUGCAGCAAUCGUUUAAAAAGUUAUUUAAACAAACG
Molecule: long non-coding RNA, 1802 nt
Organism: Octopus bimaculoides (California two-spot octopus)
Lineage: Eukaryota; Metazoa; Mollusca; Cephalopoda; Octopoda; Octopodidae
Source: RefSeq, a predicted model, not a curated record